GCACCUUCGGGUGAGUGGCAGACGGGUGAGUAACGCGUGGGAACCUACCCAUUGGUACGGAAUAACCCGGGGAAACCCGAGCUAAUACCGUAUACGCCCUCGGGCUUUGCCCUUGGGGAAAGAUUCAUCGCCGAUGGAUGGGCCCGCGUCGGAUUAGCUUGUUGGUGUGGUAACGGCGCACCAAGGCGACGAUCCGUAGCUGGUCUGAGAGGAUGAUCAGCCACACUGGGACUGAGACACGGCCCAGACUCCUACGGGAGGCAGCAGUGGGGAAUAUUGGACAAUGGGCGCAAGCCUGAUCCAGCCAUGCCGCGUGAGUGAAGAAGGCCUUAGGGUUGUAAAUCUCUUUCGGCGGGGAAGAUAAUGACGGUACCCGCAGAAGAAGCCCCGGCUAACUCCGUGCCAGCAGCCGCGGUAAUACGGAGGGGGCUAGCGUUGUUCGGAAUUACUGGGCGUAAAGGGCACGUAGGCUGGCUGUUAAGUCGGGGGUGAAAUCCUGAGGCUCAACCUCAGAAUUGCCUCCGAUACUGGCGGUCUCGAGUGCGGGAGAGGUGAGUGGAAUUCCCAGUGUAGAGGUGAAAUUCGUAGAUAUUGGGAAGAACACCAGUGGCGAAGGCGGCUCACUGGCCCGCAACUGACGCU
RNAcentral lists this ribosomal RNA (642 nucleotides) under uncultured Pseudomonadota bacterium. RNAcentral describes it as "bacterial SSU rRNA". It matches the Rfam family "Bacterial small subunit ribosomal RNA", at positions 81 to 747 of the family's 1533-position model. Lineage: Bacteria; Pseudomonadati; Pseudomonadota. The record is from RNAcentral.